GACGAACGCUGGCGGCGUGCUUAACACAUGCAAGUCGAACGGAAAGGCCCUGCUUUUGUGGGGUGCUCGAGUGGCGAACGGGUGAGUAACACGUGAGUAACCUGCCCUUGACUUUGGGAUAACUUCAGGAAACUGGGGCUAAUACCGGAUAGGAGCUCCUGCUGCAUGGUGGGGGUUGGAAAGUUUCGGCGGUUGGGGAUGGACUCGCGGCUUAUCAGCUUGUUGGUGGGGUAGUGGCUUACCAAGGCUUUGACGGGUAGCCGGCCUGAGAGGGGGACCGGCCACAUUGGGACUGAGAUACGGCCCAGACUCGUACGGGAGGCAGCAGUGGGGAAUAUUGCACAAUGGGCGGAAGCCUGAUGCAGCAACGCCGCGUGCGGGAUGACGGGCUUCGGGUUGUAAACCGCUUUCGCCUGUGACGAAGCGUGAGUGACGGUAAUGGGUAAAGAAGCACCGGCUAACUACGUG
This 468-nucleotide ribosomal RNA is filed under the name uncultured bacterium. RNAcentral's name for it is "partial 16S ribosomal RNA". It matches the Rfam family "Bacterial small subunit ribosomal RNA", at positions 28 to 507 of the family's 1533-position model. The record is from RNAcentral.